RNAcentral lists this ribosomal RNA (574 nucleotides) under Cirrosporium novae-zelandiae. Its description in RNAcentral is "SSU rRNA". It matches the Rfam family "Bacterial small subunit ribosomal RNA", at positions 351 to 942 of the family's 1533-position model. Lineage: Eukaryota; Fungi; Ascomycota; Xylobotryomycetes; Xylobotryales; Cirrosporiaceae. The record is from RNAcentral.
GCAGUGAGGAAUAUUGGUCAAUAGCCUAACGGGCUGAACCAGCAACUUGGAAGAAUGUAUAGUUUAAUCUAGUUGCAUUAAAGAUUCUUUAAUGCAACAUCGACAGUGUUGAAUAAAGUUCUGGGUAGAAGAAUGAUAAUGACAAUUUUCUAUUCAUAUGUCUUGACCAAUCCACGUGCCAGCAGUCGCGGUAAUACGUGAAAGACUAGUGUUAUUCAUCUUUAUUAGGUUUAAAGGGUACCUAGACGGAAAAUUGCGCCGUAAAAGGGACGAAUUUUCUAGAGUUUUAUGUGAGGGGGUAGUAUUUUUGGAGUAGAGAUGAAAUGUUAUGAUACCAAAAAGACUGGUGUAGGCAAAAGCAACCUUCUAUGUAAAAACUGACGUUGAGGGACGAAGGCCCGGGUAACGAAUAGGAUUAGAUACCCUAGUAGUCCAGGCAGACAAUUCUGAAUGUCAUACACUAGAGUUUACUUUAGUGUAUAAAUGAAAGUGUAAGCAUUCCACCUCAAGAGUAACGUGGCAACGCAGGAACUGAAAUCAUUAGACCGUUUCUGAAACCAGUAGUGAAGUAUGU